This 103-nucleotide microRNA precursor is filed under the name Marmota monax (woodchuck). The record is from RNAcentral. Lineage: Eukaryota; Metazoa; Chordata; Mammalia; Rodentia; Sciuridae.
AGUGGGAUUGUUGGGUCAUAUGAUAAUUUUAUUCUUAAUUAUAUGAAGACAUUACAUGCUGUUUUCUAUAAUAGCUGUACCAUUUUACAUUUCUACCAACAGU